ACCUGGUUGAUUCUGCCAGUAGUCAUAUGCUUGUCUCAAAGAUUAAGCCAUGCAUGUCUAAGUAUAAGCAAUUAUACAGCGAAACUGCGAAUGGCUCAUUAUAUAAGUUAUCGUUUAUUUGAUAGUACCUUACUACUUGGAUAACCGUGGUAAUUCUAGAGCUAAUACAUGCUAAAAAUCCCGACUUCGGAAGGGAUGUAUUUAUUAGAUUAAAAACCAAUGCCCUUCGGGGCUCACUGGUGAUUCAUAAUAACUUCUCGAAUCGCAUGGCCUUGCGCCGGCGAUGGUUCAUUCAAAUUUCUUCCCUAUCAACUUUCGAUGCUAGAGUAGUGUUCUAGCAUGGUUACAACGGGUAACGGAGGGUUAGGGCUCGACCCCGGAGAAGGAGCCUGAGAAACGGCUACUACAUCCAAGGAAGGCAGCAGGCGCGCAAAUUACCCAAUCCCGACACGGGGAGGUAGUGACGAUAAAUACUGAUACAGGGCUCUUUUGGGUCUUGUAAUUGGAAUGAGUACAAUUUAAAUCCCUUAACGAGGAACAAUUGGAGGGCAAGUCUGGUGCCAGCAGCCGCGGUAAUUCCAGCUCCAAUAGCGUAUAUUAAAGUUGUUGUGGUUAAAAAGCUCGUAGUAGAACCUUGGGCCUGGCUGGCCGGUCCGCCUCACCGCGUGCACUGGUCCGGCCGGGCCUUUCCCUCUGUGGAACCGCAUGCCCUUCACUGGGUGUGCCGGGGAAACAGGACUUUUACUUUGAAAAAAUUAGAGUGCUCCAGGCAGGCCUAUGCUCGAAUACAUUAGCAUGGAAUAAUAGAAUAGGACGUGUGGUUCUAUUUUGUUGGUUUCUAGGACCGCCGUAAUGAUUAAUAGGGACAGUCGGGGGCAUCAGUAUUCAAUUGUCAGAGGUGAAAUUCUUGGAUUUAUUGAAGACUAACUACUGCGAAAGCAUUUGCCAAGGAUGUUUUCAUUUAUCAGGAACGAAAGUUAGGGGAUCGAAGACGAUCAGAUACCGUCGUAGUCUUAACCAUAAACUAUGCCGACUAGGGAUCGGACGAUGUUAUUUUUUGACUCGUUCGGCACCUUACGAGAAAUCAAAGUGCUUGGGCUCCAGGGGGAGUAUGGUCGCAAGGCUGAAACUUAAAGAAAUUGACGGAAGGGCACCACCAGGGGUGGAGCCUGCGGCUUAAUUUGACUCAACACGGGGAAACUCACCAGGUCCAGACACAAUGAGGAUUGACAGAUUGAGAGCUCUUUC
This is a non-coding RNA of Colletotrichum liriopes, 1248 nucleotides long. The record is from the annotation of a GenBank genome assembly. NCBI's taxonomy places the organism in Eukaryota, Fungi, Ascomycota, Sordariomycetes, Glomerellales, Glomerellaceae.